UACGGGGGAUGCAAGCGUUGUCCGGAUUUACUGGGUGUAAAGGGCGUGUAGCCGGGCUGACAAGUCAGAUGUGAAAUCCGGGGGCUCAACCCCCGAACUGCAUUUGAAACUGUUGGUCUUGAGUAUCGGAGAGGCAGGCGGAAUUCCUAGUGUAGCGGUGAAAUGCGUAGAUAUUAGGAGGAACACCAGUGGCGAAGGCGGCCUGCUGGACGACAACUGACGGUGAGGCGCGAAAGCGUGGGGAGCAAACAGG
This 253-nucleotide ribosomal RNA is filed under the name uncultured bacterium. RNAcentral describes it as "partial 16S ribosomal RNA". It matches the Rfam family "Bacterial small subunit ribosomal RNA", at positions 524 to 776 of the family's 1533-position model. The record is from RNAcentral.